AUUGAACGCUGGCGGCAUGCCUUACACAUGCAAGUCGAACGGCAGCAUGAUCUAGCUUGCUAGAUUGAUGGCGCGUGGCGAACGGGUGUGUAAUACAUCGGAACGUGCCCUGUAGUGGGGGAUAACUAGUCGAAAGAUUAGCUAAUACCGCAUACGACCUGAGGGUGAAAGUGGGGGACCGCAAGGCCUCAUGCUAUAGGAGCGGCCGAUGUCUGAUUAGCUAGUUGGUGGGGUAAAGGCUCACCAAGGCGACGAUCAGUAGCUGGCCUGAGAGGACGAUCAGCCACACUGGAACUGAGACACGGCCCAGACUCCUACGGGAGGCAGCAGUGGGGAAUAUUGGACAAUGGGCGAAAGCCUGAUCCAGCAAUGCCGCGUGUGUGAAGAAGGCCUUCGGGUUGUAAAGCACUUUUGUCCGGAAAGAAAAGGCGCUGGUUAAUACCUGGGGUCUAUGACGGUACCGAAAGAAUAAGGACCGGCUAACUACGUG
Molecule: ribosomal RNA, 490 nt
Filed under: uncultured bacterium
Lineage: Bacteria
Description: partial 16S ribosomal RNA
Rfam family: Bacterial small subunit ribosomal RNA
Source: RNAcentral